Penaeus chinensis is the source of this 1051-nucleotide long non-coding RNA. RefSeq lists it as uncharacterized. The record is from RefSeq and is a predicted model, not a curated record. The transcript has 2 exons. NCBI's taxonomy places the organism in Eukaryota, Metazoa, Arthropoda, Malacostraca, Decapoda, Penaeidae.
AACCAGAGAUGUUAAACAGAAUGCUUUUGGUUGCUUUGAUGAAAAUAACCAAGGAUACAUCAACGAGGAGCACUUGAGAGAACUGCUCGUUUCUAUGGGUGAUCGGUUCACUGAUUAGGAUGUUGAUGAGAUGUACCGAGAGGCUCCCAUCAAGAACUCAAUGUUUGACUACGUGGAGUUCACUCGCAUCCUCAAGCACGGAGCCAAGGAUCUAGAGGACCAGUAAUCUUAGCAUCAGCUGUGAUGAUAGCGAGCGAGAGAGGACUGUUUCCAAAACAUGCAUUAAUAGUUUAUCUUCCCUUAGAGAAAGCUUGUGAUUGAUCAGCCAUAUAGUUAUAGAAGCAGCAAAGGGGGGAAUGAUUGGUUUGUUGAAAAUAUUUAUAUAAUGUGAACCUGUGAGAGAGAAUUGCUAGACAAUUACUUUAGGUAAUGAUAAACUUAUCGGAAAUAUUAUAUGAAUUUUGAAGUAAUAAUCGUCUACAAUUUUUUGUUCCCUUUUUUUCUUUUUGUAUCCCAAUAUUUUGGCUGCUAUUCUACUUCCCCUGAUCCAAAACAUGAUUGACUGUCAGCUUGAUAAAGGAGAAACUAUAUAUGACAGUGUGGAAGCAGAUUAAAGUGCUACACCAUUGGCUCACUAAUCAACACUAAAGGAAAAUCUGAUAUACUGAUAUAUGUAGAUUGGUAGAGCAUGCUUUGAGAUCAGACUUUAUUUAACACUAUGGUACAGUGCUAUUUAUUACCUUAUGGAAAUAUAUCUUUAUAAAUUCACUGUUAUUAGUACUUAAUAGUGCCUUAGCUUGGAAAGGGCCAGUGGCUGAAAAGAUCCUGUGUUGACUUACUAAUGUUAUAUUUCAUUACUUAAACUAACAAAUUUAUAUAAUAUUUCUGUAAUCUUCAUUCCAAAGGUUUGUAAUAUUUCUUUUUUUUUUUGCAUUAAUUAGCAUUCUUCAUUUUAUACAAGCUUCUUUAUUGAUUAUGAAAACACUUUCUAGUGCAAAAUUUUAUACCAUAACUGUACUCAGUAUUUCCUAAAUAUAUUCCAUAAAAUCUU